CCGCUAAAAAUACGAUAGCCCCAUCUUCUGCAAUCAAUAACUCCAUUUGCAAACCGAAUUGCACGCACAGCCACCACAUCAUCUUCAACUGACACCUAAAACCCGCGAGCCUUAUCUUUUUCAAUGCCUGGUCAUCUUUAACUAAUAGCUAAAACCCUUGAGCCUCAUCUUCUUCAACUAGCAGCUAAAAUACGGUAGCCCUAUCUUCUGCAACCAUAGUUGUCGCUAUUCUUUAUUUUUACAACCACAGUUGUCGUUAUUCUUUAUUUCUAGAUAUGGAAGAUUUAGAUAUAGAAGAUUUAUUUUCUUGGGUUAUGCAACCACAGUUAUAGCUAUUGUUUCAAAAAAAAUAAAUAGAUUUGGGUUCUGUGUUAAGAUCAG
RNAcentral lists this long non-coding RNA (381 nucleotides) under Amborella trichopoda. Its description in RNAcentral is "long non-coding RNA (ATRI_LNC005159)". The record is from RNAcentral. Lineage: Eukaryota; Viridiplantae; Streptophyta; Magnoliopsida; Amborellales; Amborellaceae.